AUCAAGGGCACCAAGAAGAGCCGGACUGUUGUGCUGAAGAACAACGGCACGCUCAGCUUCAAAUUCCACAUCCGCCGAGAACCCAAGCUUGCAUCUGCAUUGGAAAGCAAAAGUUCAAAGCAAGGGGAAUCUGCUCCAUCAGCUAAAAAGCGCUCAAAAGGAAGGAAAUCAGGCUCCUCGACACAGGGUCACCUCAGGCUUGGCAUGUUCACAGUGUCCCCCUGCUCCGGCUCCGUCCAUCCGUCGCGCAUGCAGUUGAUCAAAGUGGAGUGCCUCGCAGAGCAGGAGGGGACAUGGGAGGAGCAGAUCUACAUUGACAUCAUGGACAGAGACCCCACAGACAAUCCCCUCGGCAUUCCCUUCACCCUGAUUGUCGAGACCUGCGUCCCAGGUACAUACUGCCCACAGUGCCCUUGGUC
Molecule: long non-coding RNA, 419 nt
Organism: Haemorhous mexicanus (house finch)
Lineage: Eukaryota; Metazoa; Chordata; Aves; Passeriformes; Fringillidae
Exons: 3
Source: RefSeq, a predicted model, not a curated record